This 332-nucleotide unclassified non-coding RNA is filed under the name soil metagenome. RNAcentral describes it as "partial contains 5.8S ribosomal RNA, internal transcribed spacer 2, and large subunit ribosomal RNA". The stretch from base 1 to 120 matches the Rfam family "5.8S ribosomal RNA", at positions 35 to 154 of the family's 154-position model. The record is from RNAcentral.
GAUGAAGAACGCAGCGAAAUGCGAUACGUAAUGUGAAUUGCAGAUUUCAGUGAAUCAUCGAAUCUUUGAACGCACAUUGCGCCCGCUAGUAUUCUGGCGGACAUGCCUGUUCGAGCGUCAUUUCAACCAUCAAGCCCCCGGCUUGCGUUGGAGCCCUGCGGCUGCCGCAGGCUCCCAAAUCCAGUGGCGGGCUCGUCGUCGUACCGAGUGCAGUAAACAUCCUCGCUCAGGGAACGUGACGGGUUCUUGCCGUGAAACCCCCCACAUAUCAAGGUUGACCUCGGAUCAGGUAGGAAUACCCGCUGAACUUAAGCAUAUCAAUAAGCGGAGGA